This 253-nucleotide ribosomal RNA is filed under the name uncultured bacterium. RNAcentral describes it as "partial 16S ribosomal RNA". It matches the Rfam family "Bacterial small subunit ribosomal RNA", at positions 524 to 776 of the family's 1533-position model. The record is from RNAcentral.
UACAUGGGGUGCAAACGUUGCUCGGAAUUAUUGGGCGUAAAGAGCGUGUAGGCGGCUUGGUAGGUCCGCUGUGAAAACUCGAGGCUCAACCUCGAGAUGUCGGCGGAAACCACUUGGCUAGAGUCCGGAAGAGGAGAGUGGAAUUCCUGGUGUAGCGGUGAAAUGCGCAGAUAUCAGGAAGAACACCUAUGGCGAAGGCAGCUCUCUGGGACGGUACUGACGCUGAGACGCGAAAGCGUGGGGAGCGAACAGG